This 253-nucleotide ribosomal RNA is filed under the name uncultured bacterium. RNAcentral describes it as "partial 16S ribosomal RNA". It matches the Rfam family "Bacterial small subunit ribosomal RNA", at positions 524 to 776 of the family's 1533-position model. The record is from RNAcentral.
UACAGAGGGUGCAAGCGUUAAUCGGAAUUACUGGGCGUAAAGCGCGCGUAGGUGGUUAGUUAAGUUGGAUGUGAAAUCCCCGGGCUCAACCUGGGAACUGCAUUCAAAACUGACUGACUAGAGUGUGGUAGAGGGUGGUGGAAUUUCCUGUGUAGCGGUGAAAUGCGUAGAUAUAGGAAGGAACACCAGUGGCGAAGGCGACCACCUGGACUGAUACUGACACUGAGGUGCGAAAGCGUGGGGAGCAAACAGG